This 492-nucleotide ribosomal RNA is filed under the name uncultured bacterium. Its description in RNAcentral is "partial 16S ribosomal RNA". It matches the Rfam family "Bacterial small subunit ribosomal RNA", at positions 29 to 507 of the family's 1533-position model. The record is from RNAcentral.
AGUGAACGCUGGCGGUAGGCCUAACACAUGCAAGUCGAACGGCAGCACAGUAAGAGCUUGCUCUUACGGGUGGCGAGUGGCGGACGGGUGAGGAAUACAUCGGAAUCUACUUUUUCGUGGGGGAUAACGUAGGGAAACUUACGCUAAUACCGCAUACGACCUACGGGUGAAAGCAGGGGAUCUUCGGACCUUGCGCGAUUGAAUGAGCCGAUGUCGGAUUAGCUAGUUGGCGGGGUAAAGGCCCACCAAGGCGACGAUCCGUAGCUGGUCUGAGAGGAUGAUCAGCCACACUGGAACUGAGACACGGUCCAGACUCCUACGGGAGGCAGCAGUGGGGAGUAUUGGACAAUGGGCGCAAGCCUGAUCCAGCCAUACCGCGUGGGUGAAGAAGGCCUUCGGGUUGUAAAGCCCUUUUGUUGGGAAAGAAAAUCAGCAGGUUAAUACCCCGCUGUUCUGGCGGUACCCAAAGAAUAAGCACCGGCUAACUUCGUG